Molecule: non-coding RNA, 31 nt
Filed under: Homo sapiens (human)
Lineage: Eukaryota; Metazoa; Chordata; Mammalia; Primates; Hominidae
Source: RNAcentral
CAGAACUGGAAGGCACAGAGGAGCAGACCUA